Molecule: ribosomal RNA, 1406 nt
Filed under: human gut metagenome
Description: bacterial SSU rRNA
Rfam family: Bacterial small subunit ribosomal RNA
Source: RNAcentral
AGAGUUUGAUCCUGGCUCAGGACGAACGCUGGCGGCGUGCCUAAUACAUGCAAGUUGAGCGCUGAAGACUGGUACUUGUACCGGUUGGAUGAGCAGCGAACGGGUGAGUAACGCGUGGGUAACCUGCCCUAUAGAGGGGGAUAACUAGAGGAAACUUUAGCUAAUACCGCAUAAAAUCUAAUAACACAUGUUAUAAGAUUGAAAGUGCCAACUGGUACACUAUAGGAUGGACCCGCGUUGUAUUAGCUAGUUGGUGAGGUAAAGGCUCACCAAGGCGAUGAUACAUAGCCGACCUGAGAGGGUGAUCGGCCACACUGGGACUGAGACACGGCCCAAACUCCUACGGGAGGCAGCAGUAGGGAAUCUUCGGCAAUGGACGAAAGUCUGACCGAGCAACGCCGCGUGAGUGAAGAAGGCUUUCGGGUCGUAAAACUCUGUUGUUAGAGAAGAACAAGGAUGAGAGUAGAACGUUCAUCCCUUGACGGUAUCUAACCAGAAAGCCACGGCUAACUACGUGCCAGCAGCCGCGGUAAUACGUAGGUGGCAAGCGUUGUCCGGAUUUAUUGGGCGUAAAGCGCGCGCAGGCGGAUCAGUCAGUCUGUCUUAAAAGUUCGGGGCUUAACCCAGUAAGCCAUAGAAACCGGGCAGCUAGAGUAUCGGAGAGGAAAGUGGAAUUCCAUGUGUAGCGGUGAAAUGCGUAGAUAUAUGGAGGAACACCAGUGGCGAAGGCGGCUCUCUGGUCUGUAACUGACGCUGAGGCUCGAAAGCGUGGGGAGCGAACAGGAUUAGAUACCCUGGUAGUCCAUGCCGUAAACGAUGAAUGCUAGGUGUUGGAGGGUUUCCGCCCUUCAGUGCCGGAGUUAACGCAAUAAGUACCCCGCCUGGGGAGUACGACCGCAAGGUUGAAACUCAAAGGAAUUGACGGGGGCCCGCACAAGCGGUGGAGCAUGUGGUUUAAUUCGAAGCAACGCGAAGAACCUUACCAGGUCUUGACAUCCUUUGACCACUCUAGAGAUAGAGCUUUCCCUUCGGGGACAAAGUGACAGGUGGUGCAUGGUUGUCGUCAGCUCGUGUUGGGAGAUGUUGGGUUAAGUCCCGCAACGAGCGCAACCCUUAUUGUUAGUUGCCAUCAUUUAGUUGGGCACUCUAGCGAGACUGCCGGUGACAAACCGGAGGAAGGUGGGGAUGACGUCAAAUCAUCAUGCCCCUUAUGACCUGGGCUACACACGUGCUACAAUGGGAAGUACAACGAGUCGCUAGACCGCGAGGUCAUGCAAAUCUCUUAAAGCUUCUCUCAGUUCGGAUUGCAGGCUGCAACUCGCCUGCAUGAAGCCGGAAUCGCUAGUAAUCGCGGAUCAGCACGCCGCGGUGAAUACGUUCCCGGGCCUUGCACACACCGCCCGUCA